Molecule: ribosomal RNA, 358 nt
Filed under: Haptophyta environmental samples
Lineage: Eukaryota; Haptophyta
Description: SSU rRNA
Rfam family: Eukaryotic small subunit ribosomal RNA
Source: RNAcentral
UAGCGUAUAUUAAAGUUGUUGCAGUUAGAACGCUCGUAGUCGGAUUUCGGGGCGGGCCGACCGGUCUGCCGAUGGGUAUGCACUGGUCGGCGCGUCCUUCCUUCCGGAGACCGUCCCUACUCUUAACUGAGCGGGGGCGGGAGACGGGACUUUUACUUUGAAAAAAUCAGAGUGUUUCAAGCAGGCAGCUCGCUCUUGCAUGGAUUAGCAUGGGAUAAUGAAAUAGGACUUUGGUGCUAUUUUGUUGGUUUCGAACACCGAAGUAAUGAUUAACAGGGACAGUCAGGGGCACUCGUAUUCCGCCGAGAGAGGUGAAAUUCUCAGACCAGCGGAAGACGAACUACUGCGAAAGCAUUUG